GGAUUGCGGCUCAGUGGUAGAGCACUCGCCUAGCAUGUGUGAGGCCCUUGGUUCGAUCCUUAGCACCA
This 68-nucleotide transfer RNA is filed under the name Marmota monax (woodchuck). Its description in RNAcentral is "tRNA.Ala". The record is from RNAcentral. Lineage: Eukaryota; Metazoa; Chordata; Mammalia; Rodentia; Sciuridae.